UCUCACGUCUCACAUCUCAUACCGCCCGUUCCCAUCCCGAACACGGCAGUUAAGCUCUUCAGCGCCGAUGGUACUUGGGACGCUGGUCCCUGGGAGAGUAGGACGCCGCUAGAA
RNAcentral lists this ribosomal RNA (114 nucleotides) under Bacillota bacterium. The record is from RNAcentral. Lineage: Bacteria; Bacillati; Bacillota.